Molecule: long non-coding RNA, 1224 nt
Organism: Cyprinus carpio carpio
Lineage: Eukaryota; Metazoa; Chordata; Actinopteri; Cypriniformes; Cyprinidae
Source: Ensembl
AUGAAGCUACUGGGAAGAUGGUCAUCCUCCGCAUUGGAAUGUCUGGCUAAUUAUCUCAAUUUAUCUCUUUCGUUCAUGUUCCAGGAUCCUCUAAGAAAUACUUCAUCUGAUACCGCCGCUGUCAUUUCCCUCCAUCCUCCUCCUCCCCACCACCACCAGGUUGGCCCUGUCCAUGCGGGGGGUAGGCUCCGCCCUGCCUUCGUCUUCGGCAGGAUUAGCUGGUAUCUACAAACUUCAGAUCCACGCUACGGAUGGGGCCUACGCCAAAAUAAUUAUAUUUUUUGUGUUGUAAAUAAAUACUUCAGUCUUAUCUCUACCUCCCUGAGUCUUUCUGGUAGAACUGAUAUUCUAAAUUGUAGCUCUUUCACAAUAUUAUUGCUUUUACUUUACUGUUGCAGCCUUGGUGAUAAUUGUCUUUCUGAUGAAUACUGAAAAUGUUCUUUAGAAAAAAGCAUAAAAUCUUUUGAAAAGUAAACAAUUGGAUGCAUUUUAUGGUAUGAUUUUGUUAGAAAAAACUGAAGGGCAGGUGAUACCAAACACCACUAACAUUUUAAACAGGUGUGAUUAUCUCUGUCUGAUAAAAUGCACUAUUCCUAUUUAUUCAUGUAUUCACGUUUGUUUAUAAUACUGUACAUAACCCUGAAAUGUACUGUAAUAUGUCAUUGAUAAAUGCAGUAAAACAUUUUGUUAGCUGCUGGAUAAUACCUAUUAUGCAUGAACAAAUGUUAACAAAUGGAACUUUAUUUUAAUAAACCAAUGUGCUAAGUGGCAUUGCCACAUGGGCAACGCUAUUGCAGUACAGUAUUCACAGGAGCUGAAGUCCAUUUAAAAUCCAUUUGUGAAAGACUGUAUGUGUAAACACCAUAACGCAGAUUUACUGUAGAAGUUGUGUUUUGUAAAUGACUUGACCCAGACCAUUUAUGUCCAUAUUUUUAUGAAUAGCACUAUUGUUCUUUGCAUAGUGUAUAUAGGUUAUAUUUAAAGUGAUAGUUUACUCAUAAAUACAAAUAUUGGGGUGAAAGAUUAACUCAGUGAUUUUUAGUUUAGCUAGCAUAGCCUGUGAUCGUAGCCAUCAGCCACAGCUAGUAAUGCUAGGCCUAAUGAACCAAUAAGACAAAGGAAUAAGGAGAAAAUGAGAUUUACACUACAACACAUACUAUUUUGAACUGCUUAUUCAGGCUACACUCGCAGCUCUAAAUUACAGGCAUCCAUGCAAAAACACAU